Molecule: non-coding RNA, 106 nt
Filed under: Staphylococcus pseudintermedius
Lineage: Bacteria; Bacillati; Bacillota; Bacilli; Caryophanales; Staphylococcaceae
Description: SAM-I sequence
Rfam family: SAM riboswitch aptamer (S box leader)
About the family: The SAM riboswitch is found upstream of a number of genes which code for proteins involved in methionine or cysteine biosynthesis in Gram-positive bacteria.
Source: RNAcentral
UAUUUAUCAAGAGUGGUGGAGGGAAUUGGCCCGAUGAAACCCAGCAACCUCAUCUAACGGCGAUAAAGGUGCGAAUUCCAACAGUGUAAAUGCUGAAAGAUAAAUG